RNAcentral lists this unclassified non-coding RNA (2193 nucleotides) under Cyanidioschyzon merolae strain 10D. RNAcentral's name for it is "hypothetical transcript". The record is from RNAcentral. Lineage: Eukaryota; Rhodophyta; Bangiophyceae; Cyanidiales; Cyanidiaceae.
AUCGAACAUGCAGCACCCUACCUUCAAGCUUUGUAACCCCGAAUGCUUCUCGUAUAUAUUGGUAGUUCGUACAGUCUAUUGCGCAUCGAGUGCCUGCCCUGAGCACCCGCUACAGCGCUUAUACCGCUGGUGCGCAUGCAGCACAGUAACGGAACGCCUUUGCCAUACGACUUGGGGCGUCGCCUGGAGGCGAACUGCCCCUGAACCAGGCUCCGGUCUUGUCGCCGCUGCGCGACGCUCUGGAGAAACCAGACAGCAGCUAGGAUGAAUCCUGAGCGCCGCCUCUCACGUUCGCGAUGGUGUACGCCAAGCGUUGUCGGUUGGCGACGCGGGCUUUUGCUUGGCAUUCACCAGUGAGCAGGUGUGCAAAGCACCGGGCCUUCCGCCGAGAAGGUAGAAUGUGAGUUUGCUGGCCGCUACUGAGCGUUGGGGCUCGCUCAGUUACGAGACCGCCGCCUCAAUCGAUACGAGCGCGGAUGGAUUGGACGGGCGUAUGCGGCCUGUGGGGUGGUCUUGUGCCACAGGCGCUUCCGCUGACGGGUACGCGGUGCGCUCGGAGCUCGGGUGCUCUGCGCGUUUGUUACGGAGUAUUGGGGUCAGCGCUGGACACGUUCAGGUACGGAGUAGGAAAAUAAGCAUGCAUAGGAUGGGGGUUUGUUGUCUUGUGCGCACACUUGUUUCGGAAUGAAGCGGAACGUGUCUAUGGAGCCAGGUAGGUUGUGCGCGCUAACGCUUGGGUCUGUUGCUAGUGGUAUCAGUACCAGCAUUGGUGGACCUUUCCAGCGGCGGAUUUGUUUGCCGGUCCCUUAGUUUUGGAUUUAAAUGGGCAGGUCUUUCGUGUUGCUCCAGCUCCGUUGCCGGCAGUCGAAAGACGGCGAAAGCAGGUCAAGUCCCGAAUGGUCUGCUUUGCGUAGUUGACGACACAUCCCGUGCACAAGUAGUUGCUGCGGUCGACGAUUCGCUUCCCAUGCUCAUUUUCCUUGUAUGCAGCAUCGGUGCGCGAGUCGCAGCAGCAGUACUCGGCUGUGGUCAGGUGUUCUCAUAUGACCAAUAGACUUGUUCCCCGUUUGGGAGCAGGUCUGUGGCGUACGAACACCUGCUUCGGCGCUCGUUGCGUACCCUUCACGGGCACCAAAGGCGUCAGUCGGUACCCGCUUCCAUCAGCGAGCCCGGUGCCGUAGCCGCCGAUCACUGGCCUCCGCUGGGGUAUCCCGUCGACGAGUACAGUGACCGUUGCAAACGCGUACCCUGUUGCCUUCCACAGAGGAUUUGUGGAACGCGAUGUUCCAUAUAAUGAAACGAGGAACGGAAGAAGAAUCAAGGCCGGAGAACAAGUUGAGGAAACUCGAUCCGUCUUGGCUUCUUUCAUGCAGCGCAGUGAAGCAUUCUUUAUUGGAAUCGAUUGCUGGGAUGGCUCAAGUCCGAGUCCAAGACCUUCGUCUGCGCAAGAUUGAGGACACGACGCGGGCCCUGCUGGAGGUUAUCGCGUAACAGGCAUCGCACUGCAGUCGAGACCAGUUUCGCCGAUGACCCUGCAGCCAAUACGUAUUUCUCUUUCGAGCACGAAUCGGCUACUUGACUUGAGACGUUCAGUGAGCAUUCGGAUGGAGCCUGUAACCAAGUCCUCUAUGGACAAGGUCCAGUUUCUCGCCUCGUGAACAGCGCUGUGCGAAUCGCUGGGCGCACCUGACGCUUUGAAACACAAAAGAUCCAAAACUUGAUGCGUCCUUGAUCCGAGCAUGCUACUCGCACGGAAAGGCCAAGAGUGAAUGCUCCUACGCAUGGUUUUGAGAAUAAUAUCCGUUAUUUUAGGAUUCCUUGUUUGAAUGCGUUGCGAAUUGACUUGCUUUCCGUAACGCAACGAAUACCAGCCGCAAAGCGUCGAGGGAUCCCGCUUCGAAAUGACGACCAAGAAUCCGAAGACUAUGCAUGCAUCUUGAAGUCUUUAUUUCUGAAUUUCGAAUCUUGAGCCUGCAGGUCUAUAAGGUUCGGGGCAAAUCGAGAAAAAAGGAACGUACCGACUAGUUCAGUGCUCCAUCGCAAUCUGACUCGAGUGCGUAGCGACCGUGACGUCCUUCGCCCGCUACAACGAAACCCAGGUCGAAACUGCGUAUUUUCACGGGAUUUGACUGUACGACCACCAAGCAGCUCGUAAAAGAAAUAUCGUAGGUCAGUACGUUUGCGUUCGAAAAG